GCAGCUACCAUGCAGUCGAGCGGAACGAGUUAUCAGAACCUUCGGGGAACGAUAACGGCGUCGUAGCGGCGGACGGGUGAGUAAUGCCUAGGAAAUUGCCCUGAUGUGGGGGAUAACCAUUGGAAACGAUGGCUAAUACCGCAUGAUGCCUACGGGCCAAAGAGGGGGACCUUCGGGCCUCUCGCGUCAGGAUAUGCCUAGGUGGGAUUAGCUAGUUGGUGAGGUAAGGGCUCACCAAGGCGACGAUCCCUAGCUGGUCUGAGAGGAUGAUCAGCCACACUGGAACUGAGACACGGUCCAGACUCCUACGGGAGGCAGCAGUGGGGAAUAUUGCACAAUGGGCGCAAGCCUGAUGCAGCCAUGCCGCGUGUGUGAAGAAGGCCUUCGGGUUGUAAAGCACUUUCAGUCGUGAGGAAGGUAGUGUAGUUAAUAGCUGCAUUAUUUGACGUUAGCGACAGAAGAAGCACCGGCUAACUCCGUGCCAGCAGCCGCGGUAAUACGGAGGGUGCGAGCGUUAAUCGGAAUUACUGGGCGUAAAGCGCAUGCAGGUGGUUUGUUAAGUCAGAUGUGAAAGCCCGGGGCUCAACCUCGGAAUAGCAUUUGAAACUGGCAGACUAGAGUACUGUAGAGGGGGGUAGAAUUUCAGGUGUAGCGGUGAAAUGCGUAGAGAUCUGAAGGAAUACCGGUGGCGAAAGGCGGCCCCCUGGACAGAUACUGACACUCAGAUGCGAAAGCGUGGGGAGCAAACAGGAUUAGAUACCCUGGUAGUCCACGCCGUAAACGAUGUCUACUUGGAGGUUGU
This 802-nucleotide ribosomal RNA is filed under the name uncultured bacterium. RNAcentral's name for it is "bacterial SSU rRNA". It matches the Rfam family "Bacterial small subunit ribosomal RNA", at positions 46 to 827 of the family's 1533-position model. The record is from RNAcentral.